GCUCAGAGCGAACGCUGGCGGCAGGCUUAACACAUGCAAGUCGAACGCUCAUCUUCGGAUGGGAGUGGCAGACGGGUGAGUAACACGUGGGAACGUACCCUUCGGUUCGGAACAACUCUGGGAAACUGGAGCUAAUACCGGAUACGCCCUUUUGGGGAAAGGUUUACUGCCGAAGGAUCGGCCCGCGUCUGAUUAGCUAGUUGGUGGGGUAACGGCCUACCAAGGCGACGAUCAGUAGCUGGUCUGAGAGGAUGAUCAGCCACAUUGGGACUGAGACACGGCCCAAACUCCUACGGGAGGCAGCAGUGGGGAAUAUUGGACAAUGGGCGCAAGCCUGAUCCAGCCAUGCCGCGUGAGUGAUGAAGGCCUUAGGGUUGUAAAGCUCUUUUGUCCGGGACGAUAAUGACGGUACCGAAG
Molecule: ribosomal RNA, 417 nt
Filed under: Methylobacterium sp.
Lineage: Bacteria; Pseudomonadati; Pseudomonadota; Alphaproteobacteria; Hyphomicrobiales; Methylobacteriaceae
Description: bacterial SSU rRNA
Rfam family: Bacterial small subunit ribosomal RNA
Source: RNAcentral